RNAcentral lists this unclassified non-coding RNA (874 nucleotides) under Helichrysum spiralepis. RNAcentral describes it as "contains 5' external transcribed spacer, ETS". Lineage: Eukaryota; Viridiplantae; Streptophyta; Magnoliopsida; Asterales; Asteraceae. The record is from RNAcentral.
GUCGAGUCACUGGUCGACAUGAUCUCGACCAAUGGGUGACAAUAUACUCGAUGUCCAAGGCAAUGCAUCCCAACAAGUGGGGAGUUCGAUUUGGUUGGGUUAAACCAACCAAAUAGAACGAUCUGCGGCAGCAUCGAUAGUGACGUGAUUGGCCUUGUUAAUCUUAAAACAUUGGGCAAUUUCGUUGCGUCUUUGUUGUUGUAUGCUGGUAUCGUGGUUUGUCGCAUCGUUGUUGAUGACAUUCGUCCCAAGGUGAUGUGGUGUCAUGUCGCUUGUGUAUCUUCGUUUUUAGCUUUUUGAGCUUGAAACAUGUGGAUAAUCGGUUGGUGACGGACAUCACUCCCUUGGUUGAUGAAAGUCGUCCAAUGAUGUGGUGGUUUGUUUGUUUUGUUCUCGCAUCGUUCGGUGCAUUCUGUGGUCAUUUGGGCUGUUAGCGACUUGCUUGGUCGUUUGGGCUUGGUGGGUUGCUACUAGUUUGGGUGCCUUCGGGGAUGUCUACCGUAAAGGUGCAUGAGUGGUGUUUGGUUUGUUACGGGUGGUUGGCUCUUUGCUUGCGCAACAACUUCCACCCGGCAUACCUCUUCAGUCUUGUGUCAAUGCUUGUAUUGCGUUGAUUGCAUGACGGGUUUCUUGUGUUGCAUACCUAAUUAAUGGUAUCGUUUGAUGAAUCUGGUUUCUUUUUUCGUCUUGCAUCGCCUAUGCGAUGUGAGAUGAACCUUGAAGCAGCCUUUGUGAUCCACACUUUUGAUGCAUACGCACCGAUUUUGUGGCCCAUUAAUUGUUGCUCGGUCUCAUGGAUAUGGAACCUGGUGUGGGCAUGGAAUCUUAAUGGUUCCUUGUUUGYCCAAGUUUAGCCUUUCUAAAACGAUUGUCU